Eptesicus fuscus (big brown bat) is the source of this 112-nucleotide long non-coding RNA. RefSeq lists it as uncharacterized. The record is from RefSeq and is a predicted model, not a curated record. Lineage: Eukaryota; Metazoa; Chordata; Mammalia; Chiroptera; Vespertilionidae. The transcript is spliced from 3 exons.
AGAAUGGGGGGAGGGGGAUUGUUUGAGAUUAACACCUCAAACCAGAAGCCCAUCACUGACACUUGCUCCUUCCUCUGAACUCAAGGACUAUAUUUGAAUCUUUAUCACCUCC